Molecule: ribosomal RNA, 253 nt
Filed under: uncultured bacterium
Lineage: Bacteria
Description: partial 16S ribosomal RNA
Rfam family: Bacterial small subunit ribosomal RNA
Source: RNAcentral
UACAGAGGUCUCAAGCGUUGUUCGGAUUCAUUGGGCGUAAAGGGUGCGUAGGCGGCGCGGUAAGUCGGGUGUGAAAUCUCGGGGCUUAACUCCGAAACUGCAUUCGAUACUGCCGUGCUUGAGGACUGGAGAGGAGACUGGAAUUUACGGUGUAGCGGUGAAAUGCGUAGAUAUCGUAAGGAAGACCAGUGGCGAAGGCGGGUCUCUGGACAGUACCUGACGCUGAGGCACGAAGGUCAGGGGAGCAAACGGG